This 465-nucleotide ribosomal RNA is filed under the name uncultured bacterium. RNAcentral's name for it is "partial 16S ribosomal RNA". It matches the Rfam family "Bacterial small subunit ribosomal RNA", at positions 338 to 795 of the family's 1533-position model. The record is from RNAcentral.
CCUACGGGAGGCAGCAGUAGGGAAUCUUCCACAAUGGGCGAAAGCCUGAUGGAGCAACGCCGCGUGGGUGAAGAAGGUCUUCGGAUCGUAAAACCCUGUUGUUAGAGAAGAAAGUGCGUGAGAGUAACUGUUCACGUUUCGACGGUAUCUAACCAGAAAGCCACGGCUAACUACGUGCCAGCAGCCGCGGUAAUGCGUAGGUGGCAAGCGUUAUCCGGAUUUAUUGGGCGUAAAGGGAACGCAGGCGGUCUUUUAAGUCUGAUGGGAAAGCCUUCGGCUUAACCGGAGUAGUGCAUUGGAAACUGGGAGACUUGAGUGCAGAAGAGGAGAGUGGAACUUCAUGUGUAGCGGUGAAAUGCGUAGAUAUAUGGAAGAACACCAGUGGCGAAAGCGGCUCUCUGGUCUGUAACUGACACUGAGGCUCGAAAGUGUGGGUAUCAAACAGGAUUAGAUACCCUUGUAGUC